Molecule: transfer RNA, 82 nt
Filed under: Alectoria sarmentosa
Lineage: Eukaryota; Fungi; Ascomycota; Lecanoromycetes; Lecanorales; Parmeliaceae
Description: tRNA-Glu
Rfam family: tRNA
About the family: Transfer RNA (tRNA) molecules are approximately 80 nucleotides in length. Their secondary structure includes four short double-helical elements and three loops (D, anti-codon, and T loops).
Source: RNAcentral
ACCGAUGUGGUGUAAUGGUUAACAUUCGACGUUUUCAAAUCCGGAUUCCGUUGAGCUCGGAGUUCGAUUCUCCGUAUCGGUG